AACGAACGCUGGCGGCAUGCCUAACACAUGCAAGUCGAACGAGACCUUCGGGUCUAGUGGCGCACGGGUGCGUAACGCGUGGGAACCUGCCCUUAGGUUCGGAAUAACUCCCCGAAAGGGGUGCUAAUACCGGAUAAUGUCUUCGGACCAAAGAUUUGUCGCCUUUGGAUGGGCCCGCGUUGGAUUAGCUAGUUGGUAGGGUAAAAGCCUACCAAGGCGACGAUCCAUAGCUGGUCUGAGAGGAUGAUCAGCCACACUGGGACUGAGACACGGCCCAGACUCCUACGGGAAGCAGCAGUGGGGAAUAUUGGACAGUGGGCGAAAGCCUGAUCCAGCAAUGCCGCGUGAGUGAUGAAGGCCUUAGGGUUGUAAAGCUCUUUUACCCGGGAUGAUAAUGACAGUACCGGGAGAAUAAGCACCGGCUAACUCCGUG
This 433-nucleotide ribosomal RNA is filed under the name uncultured bacterium. RNAcentral's name for it is "partial 16S ribosomal RNA". It matches the Rfam family "Bacterial small subunit ribosomal RNA", at positions 29 to 507 of the family's 1533-position model. The record is from RNAcentral.